This 253-nucleotide ribosomal RNA is filed under the name uncultured bacterium. RNAcentral describes it as "partial 16S ribosomal RNA". It matches the Rfam family "Bacterial small subunit ribosomal RNA", at positions 524 to 777 of the family's 1533-position model. The record is from RNAcentral.
UACGUAGGGGGCAAGCGUUGUCCGGAAUCAUUGGGCGUAAGAGCGUGUAGGCGGCUCGAUAAGUCUGCUGUGAAAGUCCAGGGCUCAACCCUGGAAGGCCGGUGGAAACUGUCGGGCUAGAGUCCGGAAGAGGCGAGUGGAAUUCCCGGUGUAGCGGUGAAAUGCGCAGAUAUCGGGAGGAACACCAGUGGCGAAGGCGGCUCACUGGACCGGAACUGACGCUGAGGCGCGAAAGCGUGGGGAGCAAACGGGG